UGAAGACAGAAAAAGAGUGAUACUUUCAAGUUUUCAACAUGAUUUGCUAUUUGACUCCUGGGAUAUCAAAUGUGGCAACCAAGGCUUAGGAAGUUAGAAAAUUUGUCUAAGAUCUCACAACUAGCAACUGGAAAAGCUGGACCUUGAUCUCACGUCAGCUGAUUCUAGAGCCUAAAUCUACAGAUCAUGAUGGCAACAUGGACAUUAGACUACAUGGCCCUCGCACAAGGCUACUGCAACGCUUUAAACAAGAAGUCAAAGAGGGAGAUGAAGUAGAAGGUUAUGUGCAAACCAAAAGUCCACAGAACUGAGUCUGGAAGAACUGGAUGUGAAGUGAAAGGGACAGGAAAGAGUCUGGCCUGAUUCCCAGGCCUGUCAUCUGAGCCAGUGACUAAAUGGGUAAGUGGUGUGAU
Molecule: long non-coding RNA, 413 nt
Organism: Suricata suricatta (meerkat)
Lineage: Eukaryota; Metazoa; Chordata; Mammalia; Carnivora; Herpestidae
Exons: 4
Source: RefSeq, a predicted model, not a curated record